Silurus meridionalis is the source of this 213-nucleotide long non-coding RNA. RefSeq lists it as uncharacterized. The transcript has 3 exons. NCBI's taxonomy places the organism in Eukaryota, Metazoa, Chordata, Actinopteri, Siluriformes, Siluridae. The record is from RefSeq and is a predicted model, not a curated record.
UCAUCAGCAUUAAGGUAACUGAUGCCUACAGUGAGUUUGACUGCGGCCGAGUGAUUCGUCUCCUGCAGGCCUUCAUCACCCGAGACCUGAGCAGCUUCUACUUCAGCAUCAUCAAAGACAGGCUGUACUGUGAUGGGGAGAACUCUCUGGGCAGGAGGUCAUGUCAGACUGUGCUGGAGGAGAUUUUGGAUGGCGUGACUCGCUCCAUCGCUC